Long non-coding RNA from Gorilla gorilla gorilla (western lowland gorilla), 377 nucleotides. RefSeq lists it as uncharacterized. Lineage: Eukaryota; Metazoa; Chordata; Mammalia; Primates; Hominidae. The record is from RefSeq and is a predicted model, not a curated record. The transcript has 2 exons.
CUUCUACUAAUGCACCAGUUCAUGCAUCUCCAGGGCCUCCCUUCACCCCAUUUGGGACAUGGAUGAGCGAGUGUCAUUCCUUCAGCUGGAGUGUGGAGAUGAAUAAGGCCCAUUUCCGACGUCUGGGAUUUUGACUCUCCAGGCAAGAGGACAGGAAAAAGAUGUUUGGCUUCUAUGAACUAAUUCACUGUCCGGAGCAUCUUGGCAUCUGGCUGCUGCUGAGGAAAGAGGAGGAUGUUUGUGUGUGUGUGUGUGCACAUGCGCCCGUGUGUGCGUAUCUGAGGGAAGCUAAAUAUUACAUUUCAGGGCUUAGUCCUUCCGUACUUUGAAUUUGAUAUGUAAUUAUGAAUAAAUAUGGAAACGUAAAAACAAAAUCA